Molecule: ribosomal RNA, 1188 nt
Filed under: Kocuria rhizophila
Lineage: Bacteria; Bacillati; Actinomycetota; Actinomycetes; Micrococcales; Micrococcaceae
Description: bacterial SSU rRNA
Rfam family: Bacterial small subunit ribosomal RNA
Source: RNAcentral
UGGGUCUAAUACUGGAUACGACAUGUCACCGCAUGGUGGUGUGUGGAAAGGGUUUUACUGGUUUUGGAUGGGCUCACGGCCUAUCAGCUUGUUGGUGGGGUAAUGGCUCACCAAGGCGACGACGGGUAGCCGGCCUGAGAGGGUGACCGGCCACACUGGGACUGAGACACGGCCCAGACUCCUACGGGAGGCAGCAGUGGGGAAUAUUGCACAAUGGGCGAAAGCCUGAUGCAGCGACGCCGCGUGAGGGAUGACGGCCUUCGGGUUGUAAACCUCUUUCAGCACGGAAGAAGCGAAAGUGACGGUACUUUUCAGAAGAAGCGCCGGCUAACUACGUGCCAGCAGCCGCGGUAAUACGUAGGGCGCAAGCGUUGUCCGGAAUUAUUGGGCGUAAAGAGCUCGUAGGCGGUUUGUCGCGUCUGCUGUGAAAGCCCGGGGCUUAACCCCGGGUGUGCAGUGGGUACGGGCAGACUUGAGUGCAGUAGGGGAGACUGGAAUUCCUGGUGUAGCGGUGAAAUGCGCAGAUAUCAGGAGGAACACCGAUGGCGAAGGCAGGUCUCUGGGCUGUUACUGACGCUGAGGAGCGAAAGCAUGGGGAGCGAACAGGAUUAGAUACCCUGGUAGUCCAUGCCGUAAACGUUGGGCACUAGGUGUGGGGAACAUUCCACGUUUUCCGCGCCGUAGCUAACGCAUUAAGUGCCCCGCCUGGGGAGUACGGCCGCAAGGCUAAAACUCAAAGGAAUUGACGGGGGCCCGCACAAGCGGCGGAGCAUGCGGAUUAAUUCGAUGCAACGCGAAGAACCUUACCAAGGCUUGACAUACACCGGACCGGGCCAGAGAUGGUCUUUCCCCCUUGUGGGGCUGGUGUACAAAAAAAAAACAUGGUUGUCGUCAGCUCGUGUCGUGAGAUGUUGGGUUAAGUCCCGCAACGAGCGCAACCCUCGUUCUAUGUUGCCAGCACGUGAUGGUGGGGACUCAUAGGAGACUGCCGGGGUCAACUCGGAGGAAGGUGGGGAUGACGUCAAAUCAUCAUGCCCCUUAUGUCUUGGGCUUCACGCAUGCUACAAUGGCCAGUACAAUGGGUUGCGAUGCCGCGAGGUGGAGCUAAUCCCAAAAAGCUGGUCUCAGUUCGGAUCGUGGUCUGCAACUCGACCACGUGAAGUCGGAGUCGCUAGUAAUCGCAGAUCA